Long non-coding RNA from Mustela lutreola (European mink), 1372 nucleotides. RefSeq lists it as uncharacterized. The transcript has 2 exons. The record is from RefSeq and is a predicted model, not a curated record. Lineage: Eukaryota; Metazoa; Chordata; Mammalia; Carnivora; Mustelidae.
CAGGCAUAGGCUGGCUUGCUUCCAGGAGCCGGCCUGAGCCUCACCCCACCUCCCAAACAAGGGGCUGGUCUGUGCUGGGGUGGUGGGAUGCCCCUGUUUCCCCAGGCAGGAGCUUGGCUGAAGACCCAGCCGGUGCCAGGGCUGUGGAGGUCUGGGAUCGGCCUCCUACUCAGGCCCAGGCUGAGAACCCAGAGUAGGGCCUCCUCCCCGGGACAGGGCCAUCUGGGUCAUGCUGUCCAUCCCUCAGCCUCUGUCCUGUCGACCACCCGUACUUGGCACCGACAGUGUGCCUGGCAGAGGGACCCACACAGGAGAGAGCAGUUGAGCAAGCGUACAGAAAUGCAAUUGAUGUUUAUAGCAGCAACGUCCGCAACAGUCUACCUGUGGAAGAGCCCCAGUGUCCCCAGACAGACCAGUGGAUAAAGAGGAUGUGGUCUGUAUAUGCACCAUGGACUGUUCUGCAGACAUCAGAACAUGAAGUCUUGCCAUUUACAGCGACGUGGAUGGAACUGCAGGGUUAUGCGGAGCCAAAUAACUCGGUCAGAGAAAGACCAUGAUCAUAUGACAUCACUUGUGUGUGGAAUUUCAGAAAUGAAACAAAGUUGCACAGGGGAAGGAAGGGAAAAUAAAACAAGGCGAGAUCAGAGAGGAGAGGAGCCACAAGACUCUUACCUCUAAGAAACAAACUGAGGGAUGUUGGAGGGGAAUAGGAUGGGGGGGGUGGGGUAACUGGGUAAUUAAGGACACCUGGUGGAAUGAGCACUGGGUGGUAUAUGCAACUGACAAACCAUCACCUCUACCUCUGAAACUAACGAUUCGCUAUAUGUUAAUUAACUGAAUUUAUUUUACUUUUUUUUUUUAAAGAUUUUAUUUAGUUAUUUGACAGACAGAGAUCACAAGUAGGCAGAGAGGCAGGCAGAGAGAAGGGGAAGCAGGCUCCCCGCCGAGCAGAGAGGCCAAUGCGGGGCUCGAUCCCAGGACCCUGGGAUCAUGACCUGAGCCGAAGGCAGAGGCUUUAACCCACUGAGCCACCCAGGCGCCCCCAUUUUACUUUUUAAACAUAUUUUAUUUAUUUGAGACAGACAACAUGAGAGAGAGAGCACCAGUGGUGGGGAGGGCCAGAGGUAGAGGGAGAAACAGACUUCUUGCUGAGCAGAGAGCCAGAGGCAGGGCUCCAUCCCAGGACCCGGGGAUCGUAACCUGAGCCAAAGGCAGAGGCUUCAUGGACUGAGCCCCCCAGUCGCCCUUAAUUAAUUGGAUUGAAUUCAAAUAAAAUAAAAUGUUAAAAACAAACCCCCAAAUAAUUGUAUCCUCAAAAAAACCUGAAAUUUCAAAAACAACUAGAAAGAUAAAUAAAUUCGACCUAGACAAA